Molecule: ribosomal RNA, 352 nt
Filed under: uncultured bacterium
Lineage: Bacteria
Description: bacterial SSU rRNA
Rfam family: Bacterial small subunit ribosomal RNA
Source: RNAcentral
GGAAGGUCCGGGCGUUAUCCGGAUUUAUUGGGUUUAAAGGGAGCGUAGGCCGCCAGGUAAGCGUGUUGUGAAAUGUACCGGCUCAACCGGUGAAUUGCAGCGCGAACUGUCUGGCUUGAGUGCACGGUAAGCAGGCGGAAUUCAUGGUGUAGCGGUGAAAUGCUUAGAUAUCAUGAAGAACUCCGAUUGCGAAGGCAGCUUGCUGCAGUGCGACUGACGCUGAAGCUCGANAGUGCGGGUAUCGAACAGGAUUAGAUACCCUGGUAGUCCGCACGGUAAACGAUGGAUGCCCGCUGUUGGUCUGAACAGGUCAGCGGCCAAGCGAAAGCAUUAAGCAUCCCACCUGGGGAGU